UUAGGGGUUUCUGGUUUUUCAAGAAAUGAAUUUAAUUCAUACGUCUUAUUUAGAGUUUUAUUAUUUGUUUAUUUAUUUUUAUUUGGCGUUAAGAUUGGGAGGGAUUAGCUUCUUAUUUUAUUUUUAUAAUUUUUUGUUUUUUUAGUCUUGUGGGUUUUAUAGUGAUUUUCAAUUUGAUUAUGUUAAAAUUUUAUUUGUUUUGUUCUGUUAUUUUUAUUUAUUUAAUUAUUUAUUGAAAUGUAUUCUUUAUCUUUGGUUUAUGGUUAGUAAUUAUUGUAGAAUUAGUAAAUUUGUUGUUAAAUUGUUUUAUUUGUGUUAAUUUUCUUUGAGGAACUAGGCAAAUUUCAUGUCCGCCUGUUUAACAAAAACAUCUUUUCUUGUUAGUUUUUGAAGUAUGGCCUGCCCGCUGACUUUAGUGUUGAAGGGCCGCGGUAUUUUGACCGUGCAAAGGUAGCAUAGUCAUUAGUUCUUUAAUUGUGAUCUGGUAUGAAUGGCUUGACGAGGCAUGGGCUGUCUUAAUUUUGAAUUGUUUAUUGAAUUUGGUCUUUGAGUUAAAAUUCUUAGAUGUUUUUAUGGGACGAGAAGACCCUAUAGAGUUUAACAUUUGUUAUGGUCCCCUUUCUGUUUGUGAGGGUUCACUGGGCCGUUUAAUAUGUUUUGUUGGGGUGAUGGGAGGGAUUAAUUUAA
RNAcentral lists this ribosomal RNA (687 nucleotides) under Reticulitermes amamianus. RNAcentral describes it as "partial 16S ribosomal RNA". The stretch from base 346 to 508 matches the Rfam family "Archaeal large subunit ribosomal RNA", at positions 1883 to 2090 of the family's 2987-position model. Lineage: Eukaryota; Metazoa; Arthropoda; Insecta; Blattodea; Rhinotermitidae. The record is from RNAcentral.